UACAGAGACGUCGAGCGUUGUUCGGAUUCAUUGGGCGUAAAGGGUGCGUAGGCGGUCAGGCAAGUCGGAUGUGAAAUCCCGAAGCUUAACUUCGGAAGUGCAUCCGAAACUACCUGGCUCGAGGGCUGGAGGGGAGACUGGAAUUUACGGUGUAGCGGUGAAAUGCGUAGAUAUCGUAAGGAAGACCAGUGGCGAAGGCGGGUCUCUGGACAGUUCCUGACGCUGAGGCACGAAGGCCAGGGGAGCAAACGGG
RNAcentral lists this ribosomal RNA (253 nucleotides) under uncultured bacterium. RNAcentral's name for it is "partial 16S ribosomal RNA". It matches the Rfam family "Bacterial small subunit ribosomal RNA", at positions 524 to 776 of the family's 1533-position model. The record is from RNAcentral.